Molecule: ribosomal RNA, 434 nt
Filed under: uncultured Blautia sp.
Lineage: Bacteria; Bacillati; Bacillota; Clostridia; Lachnospirales; Lachnospiraceae
Description: partial 16S ribosomal RNA
Rfam family: Bacterial small subunit ribosomal RNA
Source: RNAcentral
ACGGAAGGCAGCAGUGGGGAAUAUUGCACAAUGGGGGAAACCCUGAUGCAGCGACGCCGCGUGAGUGAAGAAGUUAUUCGUAAUGUAAAGCUCUAUCAGCAGGGAAGAAAAUGACGGUACCUGACUAAGAGGCCCCGGCUAACUACGUGCCAGCAGCCGCGGUAAUACGUAGGGGGCAAGCGUUAUCCGGAUUUACUGGGUGUAAAGGGAGCGUAGACGGUCUGGCAAGUCUGAUGUGAAAGGCAGGGGCUCAACUCCUGGACUGCAUUGGAAACUGUCAGUCUUGAGUGUCGGAGAGGUAAGCGGAAUUCCUAGUGUAGCGGUGAAAUGCGUAGAUAUUAGGAGGAACACCAGUGGCGAAGGCGGCUUACUGGACGAUAACUGACGUUGAGGCUCGAAAGCGUGGGGAGCAAACAGGAUUAGAUACCCUGGUA